UACGUAGGGUGCGAGCGUUAAUCGGAAUUACUGGGCGUAAAGCGUGCGCAGGCGGUUCGCCAAGUAAGAUGUGAAAUCCCCGGGCUCAACCUGGGAACUGCAUUUGUGACUGCAUGGCUAGAGUGCGGCAGAGGGGGAUGGAAUUCCGCGUGUAGCAGUGAAAUGCGUAGAUAUGCGGAGGAACACCGAUGGCGAAGGCAAUCCCCUGGGCCUGCACUGACGCUCAUGCACGAAAGCGUGGGGAGCAAACAGG
Molecule: ribosomal RNA, 253 nt
Filed under: uncultured bacterium
Lineage: Bacteria
Description: partial 16S ribosomal RNA
Rfam family: Bacterial small subunit ribosomal RNA
Source: RNAcentral